GGUCCCGACCCUUGUCGGUAUCUUAAAGCCUAUUUAUGAGUUGGGGUUCUGGCUUAGAGCAUUUGUGUCUGGAAUCUUAGAUUAGUUUUGCUCAAAUGCAGUAUAUGUUAGAGAUGUGACAGAAUGUAGUAAACAAAUGGCCCUUUGUAACUUGUUUGGGUUUUAUUGGACAUUUUGGGUUGCUCUAGUCCCUGUUUUGGAAACUUUCUUGCUGCUGUAUAGGUUGUUGUUUCUCCAGGAGGCAGGAGCAGAUCCAUGUUCUUUCAGGCAGUCUUGCUACCUUUAUCAUUCCUGUAAUUGCUGAAAAUGUUUGAAAUGAUAUCAUACCUUGAGAACUUGCAUGAGUUGAUAUAUUUUUACCCUGAAGCGGGAUCCUAUUUUCUCACUUGGGUAAAUUCUUAUUCUUGAUGCCUAAUUUCCAGAAUGUAUUCCAAGCUGGUUCUAUUUCCUUUGUGUAGCAAGUAUGGAACAAUGGAACUGAUUAUUGUUAGGAUGUUGCAUAAGCUUGGAAAUUUUUAGAACAGUAAACAGAUGAUCACUCUUACAGUGUUUGUAUCAGUCAAAUGAAAUAAUAUAAGAUCUUCUGUUGUA
Sesamum indicum (sesame) is the source of this 591-nucleotide long non-coding RNA. RefSeq lists it as uncharacterized. The record is from RefSeq and is a predicted model, not a curated record. Lineage: Eukaryota; Viridiplantae; Streptophyta; Magnoliopsida; Lamiales; Pedaliaceae.